GUUCAUGAUGGUGCCGGAUUAGAAGAGUGGCGAUGUGGUGCUGACCUGGUAUGAUGAUAGGGUUUUGUUCCUUGCUGCACAGGUCAGAUUUCUCUAUUCGACCUCCAACUCGCAGCAACUGAUUGUCAUCGACCACAGGGCUUAGUUUAAAUAGUGAACUAUCCUUUGAUAGAGGUAUUCCACCUUUGAAUCUGUGGAAUUC
This is a non-coding RNA of Pelobates cultripes (western spadefoot toad), 202 nucleotides long. The record is from the annotation of a GenBank genome assembly. NCBI's taxonomy places the organism in Eukaryota, Metazoa, Chordata, Amphibia, Anura, Pelobatidae.